Molecule: long non-coding RNA, 347 nt
Filed under: Brassica napus (rape)
Lineage: Eukaryota; Viridiplantae; Streptophyta; Magnoliopsida; Brassicales; Brassicaceae
Description: long non-coding RNA (BNAP_LNC001367)
Source: RNAcentral
UCAAGACUAAAAUCAAGAUUUUAUCAUUUUGUUGACAAAAAAGUAACUGAUUUGCAAACCACCCAAUGUAAAUAUAUAAAUUUAUGUUUUUGAAAAUAUAGUAAGUUCAUAUGUAUCCGACUAAACAUUUUCAGACUAAACUGUAAUAAUAACUUUUUGCAAAGUAAUUUUUUUAAUAUUGUUUAAUAAAUAUGAUGUCCAACUACAUACAUAAUGAUAAUUUUACAUGAUAAACUAUGGUUCAAAAUCCAUUUAAAUAAUAUAAUUUAUUUAUUUAGGGUCCUACUUAUAUUUAUUGAUAAAAUGUUGUCAUUUGAAUUUUGGAUCUAUGCACUUUUUCGUUAAUG